This 100-nucleotide signal recognition particle RNA is filed under the name Actinomycetota bacterium. Its description in RNAcentral is "Actinobacteria bacterium signal recognition particle sRNA small type". It matches the Rfam family "Bacterial small signal recognition particle RNA". From Rfam's summary of the family: The signal recognition particle (SRP) is a universally conserved ribonucleoprotein involved in the co-translational targeting of proteins to membranes. Archaeal SRP consists of a 7S RNA and homologues of the eukaryotic SRP19 and SRP54 proteins. In most bacteria, the SRP consists of a 4.5S RNA and the Ffh protein (a homologue of the eukaryotic SRP54 protein). The record is from RNAcentral. Lineage: Bacteria; Bacillati; Actinomycetota.
GGUCGGGUCCUGUGCAACGUCCGCAUUGCGAAUCAGGUCAGGGGCGGAAGCCAGCAGCCUUCAGCAGUCGCUGAUGAGUGCCGCAGGUCGCCUGACCGUC